UUGAGUGAGUGGCGGACGGGUGAGUAACACGUGGGUAACCUGCCCUAAAGUGGGGGAUAACAUUUGGAAACAGAUGCUAAUACCGCAUAAAACCUAACACCGCAUGGUGUAGGGUUGAAAGAUGGUUUCGGCUAUCACUUUAGGAUGGACCCGCGGUGCAUUAGUUAGUUGGUGAGGUAAAGGCUCACCAAGACCGUGAUGCAUAGCCGACCUGAGAGGGUAAUCGGCCACACUGGGACUGAGACACGGCCCAGACUCCUACGGGAGGCAGCAGUAGGGAAUCUUCCACAAUGGACGAAAGUCUGAUGGAGCAACGCCGCGUGAGUGAAGAAGGUUUUCGGAUCGUAAAACUCUGUUGUUGGAGAAGAAUGUAUCUGAUAGUAACUGAUCAGGUAGUGACGGUAUCCAACCAGAAAGCCACGGCUAACUACGUGCCAGCAGCCGCGGUAAUACGUAGGUGGCAAGCGUUGUCCGGAUUUAUUGGGCGUAAAGCGAGCGCAGGCGGUUUCUUAAGUCUGAUGUGAAAGCCUUCGGCUCAACCGAAGAAGUGCAUCGGAAACUGGGAAACUUGAGUGCAGAAGAGGACAGUGGAACUCCAUGUGUAGCGGUGAAAUGCGUAGAUAUAUGGAAGAACACCAGUGGCGAAGGCGGCUGUCUGGUCUGUAACUGACGCUGAGGCUCGAAAGCAUGGGUAGCAAACAGGAUUAGAUACCCUGGUAGUCCAUGCCGUAAACGAUGAGUGCUAGGUGUUGGAGGGUUUCCGCCCUUCAGUGCCGCAGCUAACGCAUUAAGCACUCCGCCUGGGGAGUACGACCGCAAGGUUGAAACUCAAAGGAAUUGACGGGGGCCCGCACAAGCGGUGGAGCAUGUGGUUUAAUUCGAAGCAACGCGAAGAACCUUACCAGGUCUUGACAUCCUUUGACCACUCUAGAGAUAGAGCUUUCCCUUCGGGGACAAAGUGACAGGUGGUGCAUGGUUGUCGUCAGCUCGUGUCGUGAGAUGUUGGGUUAAGUCCCGCAACGAGCGCACCCUUAUUACUAGUUGCCAGCAUUUAGUUGGGCACUCUAAUGAGACUGCCGGUGACAAACCGGAGGAAGGUGGGGACGACGUCAAUCAUCCUGCCCCUUAUGACUGGGCUAC
Molecule: ribosomal RNA, 1140 nt
Filed under: Latilactobacillus sakei
Lineage: Bacteria; Bacillati; Bacillota; Bacilli; Lactobacillales; Lactobacillaceae
Description: bacterial SSU rRNA
Rfam family: Bacterial small subunit ribosomal RNA
Source: RNAcentral